Molecule: transfer RNA, 77 nt
Filed under: Beutenbergia cavernae DSM 12333
Lineage: Bacteria; Bacillati; Actinomycetota; Actinomycetes; Micrococcales; Beutenbergiaceae
Description: tRNA-Val (TAC) (tRNA-Val-TAC-1-1)
Rfam family: tRNA
About the family: Transfer RNA (tRNA) molecules are approximately 80 nucleotides in length. Their secondary structure includes four short double-helical elements and three loops (D, anti-codon, and T loops).
Source: RNAcentral
GGGCCCAUAGCUCAGUUGGUCAGAGCGUCGCGCUUACACCGCGGAUGUCGGGGGUUCGAGUCCCUCUGGGCCCACCA